RNAcentral lists this transfer RNA (68 nucleotides) under Marmota monax (woodchuck). RNAcentral describes it as "tRNA.Ala". The record is from RNAcentral. Lineage: Eukaryota; Metazoa; Chordata; Mammalia; Rodentia; Sciuridae.
GGAUUGUGGCUCAGUGGUAGAGCUCUUACCUGGCAUGUGGGAGGCCCUGGGUUGGAUCCUCACCACCA